RNAcentral lists this ribosomal RNA (492 nucleotides) under uncultured bacterium. RNAcentral describes it as "partial 16S ribosomal RNA". It matches the Rfam family "Bacterial small subunit ribosomal RNA", at positions 29 to 507 of the family's 1533-position model. The record is from RNAcentral.
AGUGAACGCUGGCGGUAGGCCUAACACAUGCAAGUCGAACGGCAGCACAGUAAGAGCUUGCUCUUACGGGUGGCGAGUGGCGGACGGGUGAGGAAUACAUCGGAAUCUACUUUUUCGUGGGGGAUAACGUAGGGAAACUUACGCUAAUACCGCAUACGACCUACGGGUGAAAGCAGGGGAUCUUCGGACCUUGCGCGAUUGAAUGCGCCGAUGUCGGAUUAGCUAGUUGGCGGGGUAAAGGCCCACCAAGGCGACGAUCCGUAGCUGGUCUGAGAGGAUGAUAAGCCACACUGGAACUGAGACACGGUCCAGACUCCUACGGGAGGCAGCAGUGGGGAAUAUUGGACAAUGGGCGCAAGCCUGAUACAGCCAUACCGCGUGGGUGAAGAAGGCCUUCGGGUUGUAAAGCCCUUUUGUUGGGAAAGAAAAGCAGCAGGUUAAUACCCCGCUGUUCUGACGGUACCCAAAGAAUAAGCACCGGCUAACUUCGUG